UACGUAGGGUGCGAGCGUUGUCCGGAAUUAUUGGGCGUAAAGAGCUCGUAGGCGGUUUGUCGCGUCGACUGUGAAAACCCGAGGCUUAACCUCGGGCCUGCAGUCGAUACGGGCAGACUAGAGUUCGGUAGGGGAGACUGGAAUUCCUGGUGUAGCGGUGAAAUGCGCAGAUAUCAGGAGGAACACCGGUGGCGAAGGCGGCGACCUGGGUAGAUACUGACGCUGAGGCGCGAAAGCGUGGGGAGCAAACAGG
RNAcentral lists this ribosomal RNA (253 nucleotides) under uncultured bacterium. Its description in RNAcentral is "partial 16S ribosomal RNA". It matches the Rfam family "Bacterial small subunit ribosomal RNA", at positions 524 to 776 of the family's 1533-position model. The record is from RNAcentral.